This 431-nucleotide ribosomal RNA is filed under the name uncultured bacterium. Its description in RNAcentral is "partial 16S ribosomal RNA". It matches the Rfam family "Bacterial small subunit ribosomal RNA", at positions 29 to 507 of the family's 1533-position model. The record is from RNAcentral.
AACGAACGCUGGCGGCAGGCUUAACACAUGCAAGUCGAGCGCCCCGCAAGGGGAGCGGCAGACGGGUGAGUAACGCGUGGGAACGUACCUUUUGGUUCGGAACAACUCCGGGAAACUGGAGCUAAUACCGGAUAAGCCCUAACGGGGAAAGAUUUAUCGCCGAAAGAUCGGCCCGCGUCUGAUUAGCUAGUUGGUGAGGUAACGGCUCACCAAGGCGACGAUCAGUAGCUGGUCUGAGAGGAUGAACAGCCACACUGGGACUGAGACACGGCCCAGACUCCUACGGGAGGCAGCAGUGGGGAAUAUUGGACAAUGGGCGCAAGCCUGAUCCAGCCAUGCCGCGUGAGUGAUGAAGGCCUUAGGGUUGUAAAGCUCUUUUGUCCGGGAAGAUAAUGACUGUACCGGAAGAAUAAGCCCCGGCUAACUUCGUG